UGGGGAAUAUUGCACAAUGGGCGCAAGCCUGAUGCAGCGACGCCGCGUGCGGGAUGACGGCCUUCGGGUUGUAAACCGCUUUCAGCAGGGAAGAAGCGCAAGUGACGGUACCUGCAGAAGAAGCGCCGGCUAACUACGUGCCAGCAGCCGCGGUAAUACGUAGGGCGCAAGCGUUGUCCGGAAUUAUUGGGCGUAAAGAGCUCGUAGGCGGUUUGUCGCGUCUGCUGUGAAAACCUCAGGCUCAACCUGGGGCUUGCAGUGGGUACGGGCAGACUAGAGUGCGGUAGGGGUGACUGGAAUUCCUGGUGUAGCGGUGGAAUGCGCAGAUAUCAGGAGGAACACCGAUGGCGAAGGCAGGUCACUGGGCCGCAACUGACGCUGAGGAGCGAAAGCAUGGGGAGCGAACAGGAUUAGAUACCCUGGUAGUCCAUGCCGUAAACGUUGGGCACGUA
This 452-nucleotide ribosomal RNA is filed under the name uncultured Actinomycetes bacterium. RNAcentral's name for it is "bacterial SSU rRNA". It matches the Rfam family "Bacterial small subunit ribosomal RNA", at positions 355 to 819 of the family's 1533-position model. The record is from RNAcentral. Lineage: Bacteria; Bacillati; Actinomycetota; Actinomycetes.